Molecule: long non-coding RNA, 632 nt
Organism: Oncorhynchus tshawytscha (Chinook salmon)
Lineage: Eukaryota; Metazoa; Chordata; Actinopteri; Salmoniformes; Salmonidae
Source: Ensembl
AGAGAGGAGACAGAGAGAGAGGCGCCAGAGAGAGAGAGAGAAGCCAGAGAGACAGAGAGAGAGGGGCCAGAGAGAGAGAGGAGACAGAGAGAGAGGCAGAGAGAGAGAGGAGCCAGAGAGAGAGAGAGAGACAGGGAGAGAGAGACAAGGAGAGAGAGAGAGAGACAGAGAAAGUCACAAUCAGAUGAGCUCCUGCAUUUUUCAGCAUUUUCUUUAAAAAAGAUAGAUGAGGAGUUAGAUAAACUUAGAUUUUUUGUCAGGAACACAUACUGGAUUCUACCCUCUACAACAUAACCCCUACUUCAAAUCAAAACUUAAAACCUACAACCUGAUUUUGGACGGAAUUACGGAAUCACCUGGAAGGUUCACAACUACCAAGAUUUGUUUCUCUAUACAGCAAAUUCUCUGGAAAACAACAGAAACCUGAAAACACCAUCCAACCUGGAACUGACUUGAUACAGCUUCAAAUAGCACUGACGUGUCAAGUGAGAGGUGUCAAAGCUCAUUAGCCCAACAAUGGCAGGAGAGUCACACAGUCUACCCCAACCAAAUGGAGAGGCCUUAGAAGCUCCCUCCCGCUGUUCAGAGGUCAUUAAAAUACAGUACCCUGUGCAUGUAAAGAAUGAUAAGGC